Molecule: ribosomal RNA, 505 nt
Filed under: uncultured bacterium
Lineage: Bacteria
Description: bacterial SSU rRNA
Rfam family: Bacterial small subunit ribosomal RNA
Source: RNAcentral
AUUGAAACGCUGGCGGCGUGCCUAAACACAUGCAAAGUCGAAACGGGUGAAAGGAGCUUGCUCCUGGAUUCAGUGGCGCACGGGUGAGUAACACGUGGAUAAUCUACCCAUUGGUACGGGACAACAGUUGGAAACGACUGCUAAUACCGAAUACGAACUGUUUUUUAUCUACAGUUGAAAGGAGGCCUCUAUUUAUAAGCUUUCGCCGAUGGAUGAGUCCGCGCCUCAUUAGGUAGUUGGUAGGGUAAUGGCCUACCAAGCCAACGAUGAGUAGCCGGCCUGAGAGGGUAAUCGGCCACACUGGGACUGGAACACGGCCCAGACUCCUACGGGAGGCAGCAGUGGGGAAUAUUGCGCAAUGGGCGAAAGCCUGACGCAGCGACGCCGCGUGAGGGAUGAAGGCCUUUGGGUCGUAAACCUCUGUCAGAAGGGAAGAAGUGCAUGGGGUGCUAAUCAGCUCAUGUUUGACGGUACCUUCAGAGGAAGCACCGGCUAACUCCGUGCC